RNAcentral lists this unclassified non-coding RNA (253 nucleotides) under uncultured Planctomycetales bacterium. RNAcentral describes it as "contains 16S-23S intergenic spacer region". It matches the Rfam family "Bacterial small subunit ribosomal RNA", at positions 524 to 776 of the family's 1533-position model. The record is from RNAcentral. Lineage: Bacteria; Pseudomonadati; Planctomycetota; Planctomycetia; Planctomycetales.
UACAGAGGCUCCAAGCGUUAGGCGGAAUCACUGGGCUUAAAGCGUGCGUAGGCGGCUCUCCAAGUGCUUUGUGAAAGCCCACGGCUCAACCGUGGAAUUGCUUGGCAUACUGGAAAGCUUGAAUUACCUAGGGGCGAGCGGAACUGACGGUGGAGCGGUGAAAUGCGUAGAUAUCGUCAGGAACGCCGAGGGCGAAAGCAGCUCGCUGGAGGUAUAUUGACGCUGAGGCACGAAAGCUAGGGUAGCGAACGGG